GACGAACGCUGGCGGCGUGCCUAAUACAUGCAAGUAGAACGCUGAAGGAGGAGCUUGCUCUUCUGGAUGAGUUGCGAACGGGUGAGUAACGCGUAGGUAACCUGCCUGGUAGCGGGGGAUAACUAUUGGAAACGAUAGCUAAUACCGCAUAAUAGUAGAUGUUGCAUGACAUUUGCUUGAAAGGUGCAAUUGCAUCACUACCAGAUGGACCUGCGUUGUAUUAGCUAGUUGGUGGGGUAACGGCUCACCAAGGCGACGAUACAUAGCCGACCUGAGAGGGUGAUCGGCCACACUGGGACUGAGACACGGCCCAGACUCCUACGGGAGGCAGCAGUAGGGAAUCUUCGGCAAUGGACGGAAGUCUGACCGAGCAACGCCGCGUGAGUGAAGAAGGUUUUCGGAUCGUAAAGCUCUGUUGUAAGAGAAGAACGAGUGUGAGAGUAGAAAGUUCACACUGUGACGGUAUCUUACCAGAAAGGGACGGCUAACUACGUGCCAGCAGCCGCGGUAAUACGUAGGUCCCGAGCGUUGUCCGGAUUUAUUGGGCGUAAAGCGAGCGCAGGCGGUUAGAUAAGUCUGAAGUUAAAGGCUGUGGCUUAACCAUAGCACGCUUUGGAAACUGUUUAACUUGAGUGCAAGAGGGGAGAGUGGAAUUCCAUGUGUAGCGGUGAAAUGCGUAGAUAUAUGGAGGAACACCGGUGGCGAAAGCGGCUCUCUGGCUUGUAACUGACGCUGAGGCUCGAAAGCGUGGGGAGCAAACAGG
This 763-nucleotide ribosomal RNA is filed under the name uncultured Streptococcus sp. RNAcentral describes it as "bacterial SSU rRNA". It matches the Rfam family "Bacterial small subunit ribosomal RNA", at positions 28 to 776 of the family's 1533-position model. Lineage: Bacteria; Bacillati; Bacillota; Bacilli; Lactobacillales; Streptococcaceae. The record is from RNAcentral.